This is a long non-coding RNA of Gasterosteus aculeatus aculeatus (three-spined stickleback), 375 nucleotides long. NCBI's taxonomy places the organism in Eukaryota, Metazoa, Chordata, Actinopteri, Perciformes, Gasterosteidae. The record is from Ensembl.
CCCCCCCCACCCCGAGGAGAACCUCAGUUCCCAUGGUUUUCACUUUCUCCCCAGAUCUCCAGGAUCUGGCUUGGCUCCUCCUUGACCUGUAGUGUGACGUUCCCGUUGUGAGGGGGAAACAAAAGAGGACUAACAAAGGUUCAGUGGACUCCACAUGGUUCCCCUCUUUUCCUCGUCUCGUCUCCUGAGUGGACGACUCACGAGUUGGCACACUGAUCCCUGAUGUUGUCCAGUCCACGGCUGGCAGGGUCCACAACUUGUUUUUGAAAUACGUCUCAUCAAGAAAGCCAGACAAUAUUGCGUUGUGGACAAAAUCCCCGACCAAGUAAUAGGGUCAAGUCGCAGAAAAUCUCAUUAGAAUCAUGUUGAGCAAGC